GAAGCCGGCCUGGCAUCACCGCUAACCAGUUUCCCACCCCAGAAACUGGUUGAGGGUGUAGUUUUCAACCACCCCAGAGUGGGGGCCACCCUCCCCUCCCUCACGGACACAGGAGCCCUGACACCACAGACUGAGAGAACGGGCUUAUAAAGUCCAAGGACAUAGAGAAAUCAGCCUCAACUGAACACAACACCCCCUGCCUGAGAUGUGCUGUGCAGGCUACUGGAACACCAAAGAUAUUAAUGGUCUCAUCCAACACUGGACCCUGCAAGCUACAAUACAACCUACCUGGGAUGCGGCGGGACACUGAGGCCUCAUCCUUGGCGGAGGAGCCAUCGCUUACUGGUUGCUGAAGGAGGAACACUUGGGG
Long non-coding RNA from Alexandromys fortis (reed vole), 370 nucleotides. RefSeq lists it as uncharacterized. The transcript has 3 exons. NCBI's taxonomy places the organism in Eukaryota, Metazoa, Chordata, Mammalia, Rodentia, Cricetidae. The record is from RefSeq and is a predicted model, not a curated record.